GAAGAAGGCCCUUCGGGUUGUAAAGCCCUUUUGUUGGGAAAGAAAUCCAGCCGGCUAAUACCUGGUUGGGAUGACGGUACCCAAAGAAUAAGCACCGGCUAACUUCGUGCCAGCAGCCGCGGUAAUACGAAGGGUGCAAGCGUUACUCGGAAUUACUGGGCGUAAAGCGUGCGUAGGUGGUUGUUUAAGUCUGUUGUGAAAGCCCUGGGCUCAACCUGGGAACUGCAGUGGAAACUGGACAACUAGAGUGUGGUAGAGGGUAGCGGAAUUCCCGGUGUAGCAGUGAAAUGCGUAGAGAUCGGGAGGAACAUCCAUGGCGAAGGCAGCUACCUGGACCAACACUGACACUGAGGCACGAAAGCGUGGGG
This 368-nucleotide ribosomal RNA is filed under the name bacterium. RNAcentral's name for it is "bacterial SSU rRNA". It matches the Rfam family "Bacterial small subunit ribosomal RNA", at positions 407 to 766 of the family's 1533-position model. The record is from RNAcentral.